AAGUCGUAACAAGGUUUCCGUAGGUGAACCUGCGGAAGGAUCAUUACAGAGAAUAUCGCCCUCGCGGGUGACUCUCCAACCCAAUGUUAUUCUACCUUUGUUGCUUUGGCGAGCCGCCUUGGCCACCGGCUCACGCUGGUGAGCGCUUGCCAGAGGACCCAAAACUCUGAAUUAAAGUAUUGUCUGAGUACUAUAUAAUAGUUAAAACUUUCAACAACGGAUCUCUUGGUUCUG
This 234-nucleotide unclassified non-coding RNA is filed under the name Chalara sp. RNAcentral describes it as "partial contains small subunit ribosomal RNA, internal transcribed spacer 1, and 5.8S ribosomal RNA". The stretch from base 1 to 46 matches the Rfam family "Eukaryotic small subunit ribosomal RNA", at positions 1786 to 1831 of the family's 1831-position model. Lineage: Eukaryota; Fungi; Ascomycota; Leotiomycetes; Helotiales. The record is from RNAcentral.